Molecule: ribosomal RNA, 343 nt
Filed under: uncultured fungus
Lineage: Eukaryota; Fungi
Description: eukaryotic LSU rRNA
Rfam family: 5.8S ribosomal RNA (bases 1-71)
Source: RNAcentral
GUGAAUCAUCGAGUCUUUGAACGCACCUUGCGCCCUUUGGUAUUCCGAAGGGCAUGCCUGUUUGAGUGUCAUUAAAUUCUCAACUUUCAAAAUGCUUUGAAAGCUUGGACUUUGGAGGACUUUGCCGGCAAUUCACUUGUCAGCUCCUCUUAAAUGCAUUAGCGGAACUUUAUUAAGGACCAGCUUUGGUUUGAUAAUCCUAUCUAUGCCGUCGCUGUGGACUUUAGCCUGUUCAGCUUCUAAUGGUCUUCGGACUGUCUCUUUACGUAGGCAUACACUUUUAAGCUUGACCUCAAAUCAGGUAGGACUACCCGCUGAACUUAAGCAUAUCAAUAAGGCGAGG